GGGUAACAGGGAGUGCUUGCACUCCGCUGACGACCGGCGCACGGGUGCGUAACGCGUAUGCAACCUACCUUUUACAGGGGGAUAGUCAAGAGAAAUUUUGAAUAAUACCCCAUACGAUCCUGAUAUCACCUGAUAUUUGGAAGAAAACUUUGGUGGUAAAAGAUGGGCAUGCGUCCUAUUAGUUAGUUGGUGAGGUAACGGCUCACCAAGACAGCGAUAGGUAGGGGUCCUGAGAGGGAGAUCCCCCACACUGGUACUGAGACACGGACCAGACUCCUACGGGAGGCAGCAGUGAGGAAUAUUGGACAAUGGAGGCAACUCUGAUCCAGCCAUGCCGCGUGCAGGAGGACUGCCCUAUGGGUUGUAAACUGCUUUUAUACAGGAAGAAACCUACUUACGUGUAAGUAGCUGACGGUACUGUACGAAUAAGGAUCGGCUAACUCCGUGCCAGCAGCCGCGGUAAUACGGAGGAUCCAAGCGUUAUCCGGAAUUAUUGGGUUUAAAGGGUCCGUAGGUGGUUUGUUAAGUCAGAGGUGAAAUCCUACCGCUUAACGGUAGCACUGCCUUUGAUACUGGCAAACUUGAGUUAUUGUGAAGUAGUUAGAAUGUGUAGUGUAGCGGUGAAAUGCAUAGAUAUUACACAGAAUACCGAUUGCGAAGGCAGAUUACUAACAAUAUACUGACACUGAGGGACGAAAGCGUGGGUAGCGAACAGGAUUAGAUACCCUGGUAGUCCACGCCGUAAACGAUGGUCACUAGCUGUUUGACUAACAUUGGUUAGUUGAGUGGCUAAGCGAAAGUGAUAAGUGACCCACCUGGGGAGUACGCUCGCAAGAGUGAAACUC
RNAcentral lists this ribosomal RNA (845 nucleotides) under uncultured bacterium. RNAcentral describes it as "bacterial SSU rRNA". It matches the Rfam family "Bacterial small subunit ribosomal RNA", at positions 67 to 902 of the family's 1533-position model. The record is from RNAcentral.